GUCGAACGAGAGACCUUCGGGUCUCUAGUGGCGAACGGGUGAGUAACACGUUUGGAACCUGCCCGCGCACCGGGAAUACGCUCUGGAAACGGAGAACAAAUCCCGAUGUACAGGAAGGAGGCAUCUUCUUUCUGUGAAACAUCCUUUCGGGGAUGGGGUGCGGAUGGACCUGCGGUGCAUUAGUUUGUUGGCGGGGUAAAGGCCCACCAAGACGAUGAUGCAUAGCCGGCCUGAGAGGGCGGACGGCCACAUUGGGACUGAGACACGGCCCAGACUCCUGCGGGAGGCAGCAGUAGGGAAUUUUCGUCAAUGGGCGCAAGCCUGAACGAGCGAUGCCGCGUGAGUGAAGAAGGCCUUCGGGUCGUAAAGCUCUGUUGCGGGGGAAAAAAGGCAGCAUCAGGAAAUGGGUGCUGACUGAUGGUGCCCCGCCAGAAAGUCACGGCUAACUACGUGCCAGCAGCCGCGGUAAUACGUAGGUGGCGAGCGUUAUCCGGAAUGAUUGGGCGUAAAGGGUGCGCAGGCGGUCCUGCAAGUCUGGAGUGAAACGCAUGAGUUCAACUCAUGCAUGGCCUUGGAAACUGGAGGACUGGAGAGCAGGAGAGGGCGGUGGAACUCCAUGUGUAGCGGUAAAAUGCGUAGAUAUAUGGAAGAACACCAGUGGCGAAGGCGGCCGCCUGGCCUGUUGCUGACGCUGAGGCACGAAAGCGUGGGGAGCAAAUAGGAUUAGAUACCCUAGUAGUCCACGCCGUAAACGAUGAGG
RNAcentral lists this ribosomal RNA (760 nucleotides) under uncultured bacterium. RNAcentral's name for it is "bacterial SSU rRNA". It matches the Rfam family "Bacterial small subunit ribosomal RNA", at positions 61 to 814 of the family's 1533-position model. The record is from RNAcentral.